RNAcentral lists this unclassified non-coding RNA (1773 nucleotides) under Hevea brasiliensis (rubber tree). Lineage: Eukaryota; Viridiplantae; Streptophyta; Magnoliopsida; Malpighiales; Euphorbiaceae. The record is from RNAcentral.
GUUCGUUUGGCCGGCUUGCAAAAAUGAACUCUCCUGAGUGGACUUAUGCUUUAAUUGGUUCUAUAGGCUCUGUCAUCUGUGGUUCACUUAGUGCUUUCUUUGCAUACGUCUUGAGUGCUGUUCUUAGCGUGUACUACAAUCCGGAUCAUGCUUACAUGAGCAAACAAAUUGCGAAAUACUGUUAUCUUUUGAUUGGAGUUUCAUCAGCUGCACUCAUUUUCAACACUCUACAGCAUUACUACUGGGAUGUAGUGGGGGAGAAUUUGACAAAACGGGUGAGAGAGAAAAUGCUGGCAGCUGUGCUUAAAAUGGAAAUGGCGUGGUUCGAUCAGGAAGAGAACGAUAGUUCAAGAAUUGCUGCUAGGCUCUCUCUGGAUGCCAACAAUGUUAGGUCAGCCAUCGGGGAUAGAAUCUCCGUCAUUAUGCAGAACUCAGCUCUCAUGCUAGUCGCGUGCACAGCAGGAUUCGUAUUGCAGUGGCGUCUGGCCCUUGUCCUCAUUGGGGUCUUCCCCGUGGUCGUUGCAGCAACAGUUUUACAGAAAAUGUUCAUGAAGGGAUUCUCAGGAGACUUAGAAGCUGCUCAUGCCAAAGCCACUCAACUUGCUGGAGAAGCUGUAGCUAAUGUAAGAACAGUUGCUGCCUUUAAUUCGGAGACGAAAAUAGUCAACCUUUUCGACGCAAGCCUCCAGACUCCGCUUAGGCGUUGCUUCUGGAAGGGACAGAUAGCGGGAAGUGGUUAUGGGAUUGCUCAAUUCUUGCUUUAUGCUUCCUAUGCCCUUGGCCUUUGGUAUGCCUCCUGGCUUGUCAAGCACGGGAUCUCUGACUUCUCGAAGACGAUCCGUGUCUUCAUGGUGCUCAUGGUUUCUGCUAAUGGUGCAGCCGAAACAUUGACCUUAGCCCCUGACUUCAUCAAGGGUGGCAGAGCAAUGCGUUCUGUUUUCGAACUCCUUGACCGUAAAACAGAAGUUGAGCCGGAUGAUCCAGAUGCUACCGCUGCCCCUGAUCGUCUUCGUGGUGAAGUGGAAUUUAAGCAUGUAGACUUCUCAUAUCCCACUAGACCCGACGUGUCAAUUUUCCGUGAUUUGAAUCUUCGUGCUCGAGCUGGAAAGACUCUUGCUCUUGUUGGACCAAGUGGAUGUGGAAAGAGCUCAGUCAUUGCACUUAUAGAGAGGUUCUACGAGCCAUCAUCCGGACGUGUCAUCAUCGAUGGCAAGGAUAUUCGUAAGUACAACCUUAAAUCCUUGAGAAGACACAUUGCUGUAGUGCCACAAGAACCUUGCCUCUUUGCUACCACCAUCUAUGAAAACAUCGCGUAUGGACACGAGUCAGCAACCGAAGCUGAGAUAACCGAAGCAGCAACCUUGGCAAACGCCCACAAGUUCAUAUCUGCAUUGCCUGAUGGAUACAAAACAUUCGUCGGAGAAAGGGGAGUUCAAUUGUCCGGUGGACAAAAGCAAAGAAUCGCCAUUGCUCGUGCUUUCCUAAGGAAAGCUGAGCUAAUGCUGCUAGACGAAGCAACAAGUGCACUCGAUGCAGAGUCCGAAAGAUGUGUACAAGAAGCAUUGGAUCGCGCUUGUGCAGGUAAGACCACUAUUGUUGUUGCACAUAGGCUAUCUACAAUCAGAAAUGCACAUGUGAUCGCGGUCAUAGACGAUGGGAAAGUAGCAGAACAAGGUUCUCAUUCUCAUCUGCUGAAAAACUACUCAGAUGGUAUUUAUGCGCGUAUGAUACAACUACAACGAUUUACACAUGGAGAAGCUGUGAAUAUGGCAA